GAUGAACGCUGGCGGCGUGCCUAAUACAUGCAAGUCGAGCGAACAGACGAGGAGCUUGCUCCUUCGACGUUAGCGGCGGACGGGUGAGUAACACGUAGGUAACCUACCUAUAAGACUGGGAUAACUUCGGGAAACCGGAGCUAAUACCGGAUAAUAUUUCGAACCGCAUGGUUCGAUAGUGAAAGAUGGCUUUGCUAUCACUUAUAGAUGGACCUGCGCCGUAUUAGCUAGUUGGUAAGGUAACGGCUUACCAAGGCAACGAUACGUAGCCGACCUGAGAGGGUGAUCGGCCACACUGGAACUGAGACACGGUCCAGACUCCUACGGGAGGCAGCAGUAGGGAAUCUUCCGCAAUGGGGGAAAGCCUGACGGAGCAACGCCGCGUGAGUGAUGAAGGUAUUCGGAGCGUAAAACUCUGUUAUUAGGGAAGAACAAACGUGUAAGUAACUGUGCACGUCUUGACGGUACCUAAUCAGAAAGCCACGGCUAACUACGUG
This 497-nucleotide ribosomal RNA is filed under the name uncultured bacterium. RNAcentral describes it as "partial 16S ribosomal RNA". It matches the Rfam family "Bacterial small subunit ribosomal RNA", at positions 28 to 507 of the family's 1533-position model. The record is from RNAcentral.